Molecule: ribosomal RNA, 253 nt
Filed under: uncultured bacterium
Lineage: Bacteria
Description: partial 16S ribosomal RNA
Rfam family: Bacterial small subunit ribosomal RNA
Source: RNAcentral
UACGUAGGGUGCAGGCGUUAAUCGGAAUUACUGGGCGUAAAGCGUGCGCAGGCGGCUCCUUAAGUCAGAUGUGAAAGCCCCGGGCUUAACCUGGGAACUGCGUUUGAAACUGGGGAGCUAGAGUGUAGAAGAGGGGGGUGGAAUUCCAGGUGUAGCAGUGAAAUGCGUAGAGAUCUGGAGGAACACCGAUGGCGAAGGCAGCCCCCUGGGCUAACACUGACGCUCAUGCACGAAAGCUGGGGGAGCAAACCGG